UGGGGAAUAUUGCACAAUGGAGGGAACUCUGAUGCAGCGACGCCGCGUGAGUGAUGAAGGAAUUCGUUUCGUAAAACUCUGUUCUAUGGAAAGAAAAGGACUGUACCAUAGGAGAAAGCUCCGGCUAAAUACGUGCCAGCAGCCGCGGUAAUACGUAUGGAGCGAGCGUUGUCCGGAAUUAUUGGGCGUAAAGGGUGCGCAGGCGGCUUUACAAGUUGGAUGUGAAAUAUUGUGGCUCAACCACAAACGUGCAUCCAAAACUGCAAAGCUUGAGUUAAGGAGAGGUAAGUGGAAUUCCUGGUGUAGCGGUGGAAUGCGUAGAUAUCAGGAGGAAUACCGGUGGCGAAGGCGACUUACUGGACUUAAACUGACGCUCAGGCACGAAAGCGUGGGGAGCAAACAGG
This 404-nucleotide ribosomal RNA is filed under the name Fusobacteriota bacterium. RNAcentral's name for it is "Fusobacteria bacterium partial 16S ribosomal RNA". It matches the Rfam family "Bacterial small subunit ribosomal RNA", at positions 355 to 776 of the family's 1533-position model. Lineage: Bacteria; Fusobacteriati; Fusobacteriota. The record is from RNAcentral.